UUCAAUCGUCUUUUUCAGAUGCCAUCUUAAUGACCUAGAGAACGUCAUUCCCUUCGUCUUGAUUGGAUUUUUAUACGUUUGCACAAAACCAAACCCCGGAACAGCUUUACUGCAUUUCCGAACUUUCGCAGCUUUCAGAAUUUUCCACAUGUUUGCGUACCUUAUACCGUUGCCACAGCCCUCAAGAGCACUUGGUUUCUUAGUCGGCGCCAUUAUUACAGGUUCCAUGGCUGUAUCUGUCCUAAAAGCUGGAUCAUAUUAAUUCUACAAUAUUCACAGAAUUGAACAUUUUUAAUAUACAAUAUUUGAAGAUAUCAGUAUUACAAUGUACGUGAGGAACCACAUUGUCCGUUAUAGGUCCAAUUUUUGGAUCGUAUUGUUGGAUGGUUGUUUUCUAAACACAUAAUUAAGAAUUAUUAAAUAUAUUAAUACGUUUUUAGAUCCUUUAUUUGUUCAUUGACCAGGCGUUCAGGACUUAAUGAAUUAGUCAUCCAAGCUCCUAGACAUAUAUUAUGAAAGUCUAAAAGUACACCUAUUACGACUUUGCUUAGAAGUCCAACUUAUCAUACAUUCUUUCUGAUGAAAACAAGAUAAUAUUCCUUAAGGAAUUUCUACAAAAAUUCUUUAAUUUGAUUUGUGCGGCAUCGUUUUUUCUUAAUAUAUAUUUCUCAAUGAAACAAAAAUAAGAGUAUGAGACUAUGAAACGAGAUAAUUCAACCCCACGCAGUGACAAAAACAUUGGUUAUCUUAUUAUAAAAGAUUUAUGAUAAAUCUUACUACUACAGAUGUAAUAUUGGGAAGAAAAAGAAAUAUAUAUUCAUCAGAAACAUCUUACCGGAUUGUAUACAAUCUCCCAUGCCGCUGCCCAAAGUAUCAUUGUACAUAUGUCAUUUAUUACUUAACAUCC
Molecule: long non-coding RNA, 907 nt
Filed under: Mytilus galloprovincialis (Mediterranean mussel)
Lineage: Eukaryota; Metazoa; Mollusca; Bivalvia; Mytilida; Mytilidae
Source: RNAcentral